CUGACUGGCCCGUAUGGAGGUUCUAGACCAUGUUAGUGUUCAGGUCUCCAUGGAUGGAAACCUUCAGGCAGGCCAAGCAG
Chlorocebus sabaeus (green monkey) is the source of this 80-nucleotide microRNA precursor. The record is from Ensembl. Lineage: Eukaryota; Metazoa; Chordata; Mammalia; Primates; Cercopithecidae.